This 399-nucleotide ribosomal RNA is filed under the name Salmonella enterica subsp. enterica serovar Enteritidis. Its description in RNAcentral is "bacterial SSU rRNA". It matches the Rfam family "Bacterial small subunit ribosomal RNA", at positions 1124 to 1522 of the family's 1533-position model. Lineage: Bacteria; Pseudomonadati; Pseudomonadota; Gammaproteobacteria; Enterobacterales; Enterobacteriaceae. RNAcentral also lists the same sequence under 1 other name. The record is from RNAcentral.
GGUUAGGCCGGGAACUCAAAGGAGACUGCCAGUGAUAAACUGGAGGAAGGUGGGGAUGACGUCAAGUCAUCAUGGCCCUUACGACCAGGGCUACACACGUGCUACAAUGGCGCAUACAAAGAGAAGCGACCUCGCGAGAGCAAGCGGACCUCAUAAAGUGCGUCGUAGUCCGGAUUGGAGUCUGCAACUCGACUCCAUGAAGUCGGAAUCGCUAGUAAUCGUGGAUCAGAAUGCCACGGUGAAUACGUUCCCGGGCCUUGUACACACCGCCCGUCACACCAUGGGAGUGGGUUGCAAAAGAAGUAGGUAGCUUAACCUUCGGGAGGGCGCUUACCACUUUGUGAUUCAUGACUGGGGUGAAGUCGUAACAAGGUAACCGUAGGGGAACCUGCGGUUGGA